CUACGGGUGGCUCCAGUGGGGAAUAUUGGACAAUGGGCGCAAGCCUGAUCCAGCGACGCCGCGUGAGUGAUGAAGGCCUUCGGGUUGUAAAGCUCUGUUGAGGGAGAAGAAAACAGGCCGUUCAAAUAGGUCGGUCUCUUGACGGUAUCCCUUUAGAAAGCACCGGCUAACUCUGUGCCAGCAGCCGCGGUAAGACAGAGGGUGCAAACGUUGCUCGGAAUUACUGGGCGUAAAGCGCGUGUAGGCCGAUUGGAAAGUCAGGUGUGAAAUCCCUGGGCUCAACCCAGGAACUGCAUUUGAAACUUCCAGGCUAGAGUGAUGGAGAGGGAAGCGGAAUUCCUGGUGUAGAGGUGAAAUUCGUAGAUAUCAGGAGGAACAUCGGUGGCGAAGGCGGCUUCCUGGACAUUUACUGACGCUGAGACGCGAAAGCGUGGGGAGCAAACAGGAUUAGAUACCCCUGUAGUC
RNAcentral lists this ribosomal RNA (465 nucleotides) under uncultured bacterium. RNAcentral describes it as "partial 16S ribosomal RNA". It matches the Rfam family "Bacterial small subunit ribosomal RNA", at positions 339 to 795 of the family's 1533-position model. The record is from RNAcentral.